UACGUAGGGCGCAAGCGUUGUCCGGAAUUAUUGGGCGUAAAGAGCUCGUAGGCGGCCAGUUGCGUCCGCUGUGAAAUCCCGGGGCUUAACCCCGGGCGUGCAGUGGAUACGGGCUGGCUGGAGGCAGGCAGGGGAGAACGGAAUUCCUGGUGUAGCGGUGAAAUGCGCAGAUAUCAGGAGGAACACCGGUGGCGAAGGCGAGUCUCUGGACAUUUCCUGACGCUGAGGCACGAAAGCCAGGGGAGCAAACGGG
RNAcentral lists this ribosomal RNA (253 nucleotides) under uncultured bacterium. RNAcentral describes it as "partial 16S ribosomal RNA". It matches the Rfam family "Bacterial small subunit ribosomal RNA", at positions 524 to 776 of the family's 1533-position model. The record is from RNAcentral.